Molecule: long non-coding RNA, 274 nt
Filed under: Lathyrus oleraceus (garden pea)
Lineage: Eukaryota; Viridiplantae; Streptophyta; Magnoliopsida; Fabales; Fabaceae
Description: Pisum sativum (pea) long non-coding RNA (PSAT_LNC004738)
Source: RNAcentral
UGCUUCAUCUGUUUCGAACCAAAAACACCAAACAACCACUGUACCACGACUGUUCUUCAACCUUGGUGAGUUUUUCGAGUUUCACUAUUCUUAAAAUUAUUACAUGUUUUAGAAAGGUCUCUUGAUGCUGAGUUCAUUGAUGGUUUACAAAAACACCAAACAACCACUGUACCACGACUGUUCUUCAACCUUGGUGAGUUUUUCGAGUUUCACUAUUCUUAAAAUUAUUACAUGUUUUAGAAAGGUCUCUUGAUGCUGAGUUCAUUGAUGGUUU